Molecule: ribosomal RNA, 1403 nt
Filed under: Staphylococcus aureus
Lineage: Bacteria; Bacillati; Bacillota; Bacilli; Caryophanales; Staphylococcaceae
Description: partial 23S ribosomal RNA
Rfam family: Bacterial large subunit ribosomal RNA
Source: RNAcentral
GACGCAGUAGGAUAGGCGAAGCGUGCGAUUGGAUUGCACGUCUAAGCAGUAAGGCUGAGUAUUAGGCAAAUCCGGUACUCGUUAAGGCUGAGCUGUGAUGGGGAGAAGACAUUGUGUCUUCGAGUCGUUGAUUUCACACUGCCGAGAAAAGCCUCUAGAUAGAAAAUAGGUGCCCGUACCGCAAACCGACACAGGUAGUCAAGAUGAGAAUUCUAAGGUGAGCGAGCGAACUCUCGUUAAGGAACUCGGCAAAAUGACCCCGUAACUUCGGGAGAAGGGGUGCUCUUUAGGGUUAACGCCCAGAAGAGCCGCAGUGAAUAGGCCCAAGCGACUGUUUAUCAAAAACACAGGUCUCUGCUAAACCGUAAGGUGAUGUAUAGGGGCUGACGCCUGCCCGGUGCUGGAAGGUUAAGAGGAGUGGUUAGCUUCUGCGAAGCUACGAAUCGAAGCCCCAGUAAACGGCGGCCGUAACUAUAACGGUCCUAAGGUAGCGAAAUUCCUUGUCGGGUAAGUUCCGACCCGCACGAAAGGCGUAACGAUUUGGGCACUGUCUCAACGAGAGACUCGGUGAAAUCAUAGUACCUGUGAAGAUGCAGGUUACCCGCGACAGGACGGAAAGACCCCGUGGAGCUUUACUGUAGCCUGAUAUUGAAAUUCGGCACAGCUUGUACAGGAUAGGUAGGAGCCUUUGAAACGUGAGCGCUAGCUUACGUGGAGGCGCUGGUGGGAUACUACCCUAGCUGUGUUGGCUUUCUAACCCGCACCACUUAUCGUGGUGGGAGACAGUGUCAGGCGGGCAGUUUGACUGGGGCGGUCGCCUCCUAAAAGGUAACGGAGGCGCUCAAAGGUUCCCUCAGAAUGGUUGGAAAUCAUUCAUAGAGUGUAAAGGCAUAAGGGAGCUUGACUGCGAGACCUACAAGUCGAGCAGGGUCGAAAGACGGACUUAGUGAUCCGGUGGUUCCGCAUGGAAGGGCCAUCGCUCAACGGAUAAAAGCUACCCCGGGGAUAACAGGCUUAUCUCCCCCAAGAGUUCACAUCGACGGGGAGGUUUGGCACCUCGAUGUCGGCUCAUCGCAUCCUGGGGCUGUAGUCGGUCCCAAGGGUUGGGCUGUUCGCCCAUUAAAGCGGUACGCGAGCUGGGUUCAGAACGUCGUGAGACAGUUCGGUCCCUAUCCGUCGUGGGCGUAGGAAAUUUGAGAGGAGCUGUCCUUAGUACGAGAGGACCGGGAUGGACAUACCUCUGGUGUACCAGUUGUCGUGCCAACGGCAUAGCUGGGUAGCUAUGUGUGGACGGGAUAAGUGCUGAAAGCAUCUAAGCAUGAAGCCCCCCUCAAGAUGAGAUUUCCCAACUUCGGUUAUAAGAUCCCUCAAAGAUGAUGAGGUUAAUAGGUUCGAGGUGGAAG